Molecule: transfer RNA, 73 nt
Filed under: Fusochloris perforata
Lineage: Eukaryota; Viridiplantae; Chlorophyta; Trebouxiophyceae; Microthamniales; Microthamniaceae
Description: tRNA-Ala
Rfam family: tRNA
About the family: Transfer RNA (tRNA) molecules are approximately 80 nucleotides in length. Their secondary structure includes four short double-helical elements and three loops (D, anti-codon, and T loops).
Source: RNAcentral
GGGGGUAUAGCUCAAUUGGUAGAGCGCCGCCUUUGCAAGGCGGAUGUUAGCGGUUCGAGUCCGCUUAUCUCCA